UACACUUCCGGCGCGCAGCGGGCGGCCAUGUUGGAGCAGCGGAGGCGGCGCAGAGGCGCGUCUUGGGUCCCCGCGGCGGCGCCGGUGCCAAGCGCUGAUUUGUGGAUACCCAGGCA
RNAcentral lists this long non-coding RNA (116 nucleotides) under Piliocolobus tephrosceles (Ugandan red Colobus). Its description in RNAcentral is "lncRNA (ENSPTEG00000007254.1)". Lineage: Eukaryota; Metazoa; Chordata; Mammalia; Primates; Cercopithecidae. The record is from RNAcentral.